CAGGCAUGGCAGCACACACCUGUAGUCCCCACUACUCAAGAGGCUGAGGUGGGAGGAUGCCUUGGGUCCAGGAGUUCUGGGCUGCAGUGUGCUAUGCCAAUUGGGUGUCCACACUAAGUUCAGCAUCAAUAUGGUGACCUUCCAGAAACAAGAGACCACCAGGUUGCUUAAGGAGGGGUGAACCAGCCCAGAUCAGAAAUGGAGCAGGUCAAAACUCCUGUGAUGAUCAGUUAUCACAGUUUGUUGUUUUCCAGUCUGUGUUUUAUUCUAUUGUU
This is an unclassified non-coding RNA of Heterocephalus glaber (naked mole-rat), 275 nucleotides long. It matches the Rfam family "Metazoan signal recognition particle RNA". From Rfam's summary of the family: The signal recognition particle (SRP) is a universally conserved ribonucleoprotein. Lineage: Eukaryota; Metazoa; Chordata; Mammalia; Rodentia; Bathyergidae. The record is from Ensembl.